CUCUGGCUGUCUCUCUCUCUGUCAGAUAAAUAAAUAAAAUCUUAAAAAAAAAUUAUGUGUGGAUUUUCGACCACACAGGGGUCAGCACCCCUAACCCUGCAUGGUUCAAGGGUCAGCUAUAGUUUGAGAUCAGAAAGAGUGACACCUCUGGUUUUGUUCAUUCUCAGGAUUACUUUGGCUUUUUCAGGUCUUUUGUGGUUCCAUACAAAUUUUAGGAUUGUUAUUUCUUUUUUUUUUCUUUUUUCUUUUUCUUUUUUUUUUUCAAUGUAGGCUCAACACCCAGUGUGGGGCUUGAACUCACAACCCUGAGAUCAAGAGUCGCAUGCUCUACUGACUGAGCCAGCUAGGCGCCCCAAGAUUGUUAUUUCUGUGAAAUAUGCCACUGGAAAUUGAUAGGGAUUGCAUUGAAUCUGUAGAUGGCUUUAGAAUGAGAGCACAGGCCUUGCCUUGUUCAACACUAUGUCCCCAGCAUGCAAAAUACUUCCAGAUACUAUUGGUUGGUGUAUAGUAUUUGCCGAACGAAUGAGUUAGAUGUGGAACUGAAAAAGGAGGACUUGCAGAAAACAGAGCUCCCUCCAGAAAGGAUCUAGUUCCAGCUGUUAAAUGGCUGAGAGAAUCAUUGGGAAGACCGAGGAAGCCGACUCCAGACUGAACUAGGAAGAACAGCCACAGCCCCACGGUUGGGCCAAGGAGUUGCUGUUGAUGCCACAACAUGGCAGUUGCUCAGAGACUCUGGCAGCUGCUUUACCUACAAAAUACACCAACAGAGUGGAUGCCAUGUGUUCUCCCGCACUGGACUCCUUUCCAAAUUCAAGUGUCAUGGGGGUGCAUCUGAUUGUAACGCUUUAAAAAGGCAUUUUAAAUGGUCCUUAGCAGCACGGACAUCCAACCGUGGAGGCCUGGGGCUUCUAUGAGAGCCCUCAGAAGUGGCUCCGGCAUGUGAACACCACCAUCACGUUAGCAAAUUACAACAGUGAGAGGAGCUGAUUACAUAGCAGAUCUAGCCAAUAGGUUGCAGCUUGCAGAGAAACGUAAUCAGUGGGAAGUUUUGUGGUCAAUCACUAGAAAUUGGGGAGCAUCAGAGGAAAGGACCGCUGCUCUCAGUCCACGCUUGGGAAGAUGGAAAGACGAGUGAAGAAAACGCUGAGAAAGCAGAGCAAUGAGGAAGAACUAAAGUUACCGGAUACUAACGGUGUGGCGUGACAGCUGACUGACGGGGGCAGGACAAAGAAAGGACAGAAAGUCCAGAAAUAUUCCCAAAUACACACAGAAAUCUAGUAUAUGACAAAUGUAGCAUCUUAAAAAACUCUUUUUUGCCAUGUAGGAUAAACAACUGUCAAAGGAUGCAGGAGAAAACUAGCCAUAGUGGCUACUAGUUUCUGACAGGGAAAGGGGGUUGCAGUGGGAACUGAGUUUGGGGGUCAAGGGUGAAGAAAAUUGUGUUCUUUUUACGUUUGUGAUUGAGUCAUGUAUUUCCUAUUGAAAAAAUUAAACAUUAAAACAACUCACAGUGUCAA
This is a long non-coding RNA of Ailuropoda melanoleuca (giant panda), 1517 nucleotides long. RefSeq lists it as uncharacterized. Lineage: Eukaryota; Metazoa; Chordata; Mammalia; Carnivora; Ursidae. The transcript has 6 exons. The record is from RefSeq and is a predicted model, not a curated record.